This 74-nucleotide transfer RNA is filed under the name Gammaproteobacteria bacterium. Its description in RNAcentral is "tRNA-Gly". It matches the Rfam family "tRNA". Rfam says of the family: Transfer RNA (tRNA) molecules are approximately 80 nucleotides in length. Their secondary structure includes four short double-helical elements and three loops (D, anti-codon, and T loops). RNAcentral also lists the same sequence under 5 other names. The record is from RNAcentral. Lineage: Bacteria; Pseudomonadati; Pseudomonadota; Gammaproteobacteria.
GCGGGUGUAGUUCAAUGGUAGAACCUCAGCCUUCCAAGCUGAUGAUGGCGGUUCGAUCCCGCUCACCCGCUCCA